UUGACGUAAUUAUCGUGCCUUGACACAUUUCUAGUGCCUUGGCGCGAUUUUAGUGCCUUGUCGCAAUUCUAGCGCAUUGACGCAUUUCUAGUGCCUUGGGGCAUUUCUAGCGCCUUGACGCAAUUCUAAUGCCUUGACGCGAUUUUAGU
Molecule: non-coding RNA, 149 nt
Organism: Caenorhabditis elegans
Lineage: Eukaryota; Metazoa; Nematoda; Chromadorea; Rhabditida; Rhabditidae
Source: Ensembl